UGCCCAGCCCCGCGGGGUGUUUUUGGGGCCGGGCCGCUCCUUACCUUAUCCUGUGUGACGCAGGGCCACGCCGAGGGAAAACCUGAGUCAUCGCCCUUUCCUCCCGCUCCGGGAGGCAACGCGCCGCCGGAGCCCAACGCCAAAGCCAGGCUUCCCCAGGAGCCCGAGUCCUGCUCCCCCGUCUCCUUUCCAGGGUUAUGGGGAUCUGGAACGCUUUCUGUUGUCACCAAGAGAAAACGUGGUCCUUUAGCAAUAAGAAAACAAGAGCACAACCCAUCUUUAGCCAUCUCAUAUAUUCAGGAGAAGACUAAACUAGCUGCAUUGUGACAUAAAUCAGGUGAUAAUCGUAUAAAAUGCAUUAAAUAAUUCAAAAGCUUUGUUAGGAUAUCACCAUUUUGAUGAAACUUUAUACUUGCUUGUGUAUUCUGGUCUGAAAGUUAAAGCAAUUGCUUUAACACUUCUGCUUGGGAAACAGAGCUUUUAAGGUUUAAUCGCCUGGUAGGCAGCUGGAAAGUCCAACCCCCACCUCCCCAGAAUGAAAAGAGAAAGAGAGUAUGGGAUGCAACCUGAGUGGAAUUAAAGAAAAUAUAGAGAGUACCUUAAUGGCCUAAAAUGCAGGGUGGUCAAAACGUUGGUGAAACCCUCAGCCAGCAAACAUUAAAGCAACUCCCACAACCACCC
RNAcentral lists this long non-coding RNA (681 nucleotides) under Calidris pugnax (ruff). RNAcentral's name for it is "lncRNA (ENSCPUG00000006971.1)". Lineage: Eukaryota; Metazoa; Chordata; Aves; Charadriiformes; Scolopacidae. The record is from RNAcentral.